GGCUGAAAUUCGCCUUCAUGAAGCUGGAAUUGCUAGUAAUGGCAGGUCAGCAUACUGCCGUGAAUACGUUCCCGGGCCUUGUACACACCGCCCGUCACACCAUGAGAGUUGGGGAUACCCGAAGCCUGUGAGCUAACUGUAAAGAGGCAGCAGUCGAAGGUAGAAUCAAUGAUUGGGGUGAAGUCGUAACAAGGUAGC
This 198-nucleotide ribosomal RNA is filed under the name uncultured bacterium. RNAcentral's name for it is "partial 16S ribosomal RNA". It matches the Rfam family "Bacterial small subunit ribosomal RNA", at positions 1303 to 1500 of the family's 1533-position model. The record is from RNAcentral.